RNAcentral lists this long non-coding RNA (694 nucleotides) under Gallus gallus (chicken). The record is from RNAcentral. Lineage: Eukaryota; Metazoa; Chordata; Aves; Galliformes; Phasianidae.
AUUCCACCAUCCAGCUCUCAGGAGUAUUUAGGUUCAAGGUGAAUAGUGGAGACUGAGGCAUAUCCAAAAACUUGGCGAUUGGUCCAGAAGCAAAGCUGUUAUCUGCUGUGAAAGAAGUUUCCAUCUCCAAAACGUAGCGAUAAAAGCUUUUUAGAGGCAUGUCAGAAAGUUUUGACUGGCAGUUCAUAAACACCCUUAGGUUCAUGUUUAUCAAUUGGUUCAAGACCAAAAGUAAGGGAGCAAGUCUUUGAGCAUCUCUGGUAACAGGAUCAACAAUGGCCACAACAUCAAAAUAUGUCUCCCCCUCUUUUGGUCUUAGUUUAACUGCACUGUAUCGUUCUUCGAAAAAUUGAUAUUCAAUUCUUGCCUCUCCUUUUGGUUGAGCAGAAAGAAGAGCAUCCACUUUCAUUACCAAGUCACUAGCAAGAUCUUCUUCAAAUCCCAGCUGCUGAAUUUGAGAUUUGAUUUUCUGUCCUGAUGUCUUUAGGAUGAUAUUCUCAAGGAGGUGGAAGUCAUCCUGAUUGAACAUCUCGCCAUCCUCUAAUGGGCCAAUUAUCCUUCCAUUGCUGAUCACAGCCCUCUGCCCCUUCUUCAGCUUGAGAACAUCUCUACAAUAUAUAGCAUGGGACAGAAUGAAAUCCACCUUGGGAGAUUCAAAGGCUUCCUUAAAAAUAUUGGUAUCCAUACCCUGAAA